GAGAUACUCUGUGGAUGGCGCA
RNAcentral lists this non-coding RNA (22 nucleotides) under Rattus norvegicus (Norway rat). Lineage: Eukaryota; Metazoa; Chordata; Mammalia; Rodentia; Muridae. The record is from RNAcentral.